GACGAACGCUGGCGGCGUGCCUAAUACAUGCAAGUCGAACGGUCUUUCUAUGGAAGCUUGCUUCCACUGAGAAGAUAGUGGCGAACGGGUGAGUAACACGUGGGUAACCUGCCCAUAAGAGGGGGGAUAACAUCCGGAAACGGGUGCUAAUACCGCAUAGUUUUCUUGAUCGCAUGAUCGGGAAAGGAAAGACGGCCUUUGUGCUGUCGCUUAUGGAUGGACCCGCGGCGUAUUAGUUAGUUGGUGAGGUAACGGCUCACCAAGACGAUGAUACGUAGCCGACCUGAGAGGGUGAUCGGCCACAUUGGGACUGAGACACGGCCCAAACUCCUACGGGAGGCAGCAGUAGGGAAUCUUCCGCAAUGGACGAAAGUCUGACGGAGCAACGCCGCGUGAGUGAAAGAAGGUUUUCGGAUCGUAAAACUCUGUUGUCAGAGAAGAACAAGUUGGAGAGUAACUGCUCCAGCCUUGACGGUAUCUGACCAGAAAGCCACGGCUAACUACGUGCCAGCCGCCGC
RNAcentral lists this ribosomal RNA (518 nucleotides) under uncultured bacterium. RNAcentral describes it as "bacterial SSU rRNA". It matches the Rfam family "Bacterial small subunit ribosomal RNA", at positions 28 to 518 of the family's 1533-position model. The record is from RNAcentral.